RNAcentral lists this long non-coding RNA (258 nucleotides) under Vigna radiata. RNAcentral's name for it is "long non-coding RNA (VRAD_LNC013934)". The record is from RNAcentral. Lineage: Eukaryota; Viridiplantae; Streptophyta; Magnoliopsida; Fabales; Fabaceae.
UAGUAUGUAAGAGAGAGUGGAAUAAAUGAAAUUGUAAACCCCCAACAACAUCCAUUCAUCCAUUGUUUUCGUUUGUCAAUUGAAUCAACUUUAUUUUUGCAUGUUAAUAUUUUUGUUCUCAAAUCCAAUUUAUUAAUUUUUAUUUUUCAAGUCUUAUUAUUUUAAUUCACGCGAACGAGAAAGCCAUACGAGUCUCUUGGGAAAACGAUACUUGGUCUUAUCAUUUAUAUUACUUGUACGAUUUGGUACACUUGCCAA